UAGGGAAUCUUCCACAAUGGACGCAAGUCUGAUGGAGCAACGCCGCGUGAGUGAAGAAGGUUUUCGGAUCGUAAAGCUCUGUUGUUGGUGAAGAAGGAUAGAGGCAGUAACUGGUCUUUAUUUGACGGUAAUCAACCAGAAAGUCACGGCUAACUACGUGCCAGCAGCCGCGGUAAUACGUAGGUGGCAAGCGUUGUCCGGAUUUAUUGGGUGUAAAGCGAGCGCAGGCGGAAUGAUAAGUCUGAUGUGAAAGCCCACGGCUCAACCGUGGAACUGCAUCGGAAACUGUCAUUCUUGAGUGCAGAAGAGGAGAGUGGAAUUCCAUGUGUAGCGGUGGAAUGCGUAGAUAUAUGGAAGAACACCAGUGGCGAAGGCGGCUCUCUGGUCUGCAACUGACGCUGAGGCUCGAAAGCAUGGGUAGCGAACAGG
RNAcentral lists this ribosomal RNA (429 nucleotides) under bacterium. RNAcentral describes it as "partial 16S ribosomal RNA". It matches the Rfam family "Bacterial small subunit ribosomal RNA", at positions 355 to 776 of the family's 1533-position model. The record is from RNAcentral.